Molecule: ribosomal RNA, 2517 nt
Filed under: human gut metagenome
Description: bacterial LSU rRNA
Rfam family: Bacterial large subunit ribosomal RNA
Source: RNAcentral
ACCCCGGGAGGGGAGUGAAACAGUCUCUGAAACCGUGCGCCUACAAUCCGUCGGAGCCCUUUUGUGGGGUGACGGCGUGCCUAUCGAAAAAUGAGUCUGCGAGUCAGUGGCAUGUGGCGAGCAUAACCCGUGUGGGGUAUGCGUAGCGAAGGCGAGUCUUAAAAGGCGUUUGAGUCGCGUGUCCUGGACCCGAAGCGGGAUGAUCUAGCCCUGAGCAGGUUGAAGCGCGGGUAAGACCGCGUGGAGGACCGAACCCACCUGGGUUGAAAACCGGGGGGAUGACUUGGGGCUAGGGGUGAAAGGCCAAUCAAAUUCCGUGAUAGCUGGUUCUCUCCGAAAUGCAUUUGGGUGCAGCGUCGGGUCAUUACGUCCCGGGGGUAGAGCUACUGGAUGCUUGCGGGCCCGUAUCGGGUACCAACAGCAACCAAACUCCGAAUACCGGUGACGCGUAUCCCGGCAGUGAGUCGGCGGGGGAUAAGCUUCGUCGUCGAAAGGGAAACAGCCCAGACCGUCGUCUAAGGUCCCGAAGCGUGUGCUAAGUGGGAAAGGAUGUGGAGUCGCAUAGACAGCCAGGAGGUUGGCUCAGAAGCAGCCACCCUUGAAAGAGUGCGUAACAGCUCACUGGUCUAGUGGUUCCGCGCCGACAAUGUAGCGGGGCUCAAGCACGCCACCGAAGACGCGGCAGUAUUUUGUACUGGGUAGGAGAGCGUCCCAUGAGGGGCGAAGCGGCCGUGUGAACGCGCCGUGGACUUCAUGGGAGUGAGAAUGCAGACAUGAGUAGCGAGAGACGGGUGAAGAUCCCGUCCGCUGGAUGACCAAGGGUUCCAGGGCCACGUUCAUCGUCCCUGGGUGAGUCGGGUCCUAAGGCGAGGCCGACAGGCGUAGUCGAAUGGAUGAACGGGUCGAUAUUCCCGUACCGGCUUUCAGCCGCCAAAACCGAGGCUUGGAGUACUAACCUCCGGGUCCGGGCUUACUGCUCCUUCGGGGGCGGGAUGCCCUGGCCUGUUGGGACCGAUCCUUGUAGUAGGUCAGCGCAGGAGUGACGCAGAAGGGUAGCCGGCCGCGGAGGUGGUCUUCCGUGGUCAAGCACGCAGGGCGUGGGACAGGCAAAUCCGUCCCGCAUGGGUCCGAGGUGCGAUGAUGGGGGCCUUAUGGCCCGAUAUCCGGUGAUCCCGGCUGCCGAGAAAAGCUUCGGCGUCAGGCUCAAAGCCGCCCGUACCCCAAACCGACACUGGUGGUCAGGUAGAGAAUACCAAAGCGAUCGAGCGAAUCCUGGUCAAGGAACUCGGCAAAUCACUCCCGUUCCUUCGGUUUAAGGGAGACCCCCGAUGGUGAACACACUUGCUGUGGGAGCUUUUGGGGGUGGCACAGACCAGGGGGUAGCGACUGUUUACCAAAAACACAGGUGCAUGCGAAGGCGCAAGCCGCUGUAUAUGCACUGACGCCUGCCCGGUGCCGGAAGGUUAAGAGGAUCCGUCAGCCUUCGGGUGAAGCGGUGAAUUCAAGCCCCGGUAAACGGCGGUGGUAACUAUAACCAUCCUAAGGUAGCGAAAUUCCUUGUCGGGUAAGUUCCGACCUGCACGAAUGGCGUAACGACUUCCCCACUGUCUCGACCAGGAGCUCGGCGAAAUUGCAGUACGAGUAAAGAUGCUCGUUAAGCGCAGAAGGACGAAAAGACCCCGGGACCUUUACUAUACCUUGGUAUUGGCAUUCGGUGUGGAUUGUGUAGCAUAGGCGGGAGGCCGAGAGGCGCGGUCGCCAGAUCGCGCGGAGCCGUAAGGUGAAAUACCGCUCUGUUCGCAUUGGAUGUCUAACCUCGAACAGUCAUCCUGUUCAGGGACAGUGCCUGGCGGGUAGGUUAACUGGGGCGGUUGCCUCCCAAAGAGUAACGGAGGCGCCCAAAGGUCCGCUCAGCCCGGUUGGCAAUCGGGUGGCGAGUGCAAGUGCACAAGCGGGCUUGACUGCGAGGACGACGGUCCGAGCAGGGACGAAAGUCGGGACUAGUGAUCCGGUGCCGGUGUACGGACGCGGCAUCGCUCAACGGAUAAAAGGUACCCCGGGGAUAACAGGCUGAUCAUUCCCAAGAGUCCAUAUCGACGGGAUGGUUUGGCACCUCGAUGUCGGCUCGUCGCAUCCUGGGGCUGGAGCAGGUCCCAAGGGUUCGGCUGUUCGCCGAUUAAAGCGGCACGCGAGCUGGGUUCAGAACGUCGUGAGACAGUUUGGUCUCUAUCCUCUGCGCUCGUUGGAAUGCUGAGGAGGCCUGCCCAUAGUACGAGAGGACCUGGGUGGACGAACCUCUGGUAUGCCGGUUGUCACGCCAGUGGCACGGCCGGUUGGCUACGUUCGGAAGGGAUAACCGCUGAAAGCAUCUAAGCGGGAAGCCUGCUCCAAGAUAAGCAUUCCGUGGAACCUUCGAGUUCCUGUAGUCCCCAUGCAGAACACGUGGUCGAUAGGCCGGACGUGGAAGCCCCGCGAGGGGUGGAGCCGACCGGUACUAACGGACGAAAGGCAACACUA